Molecule: ribosomal RNA, 250 nt
Filed under: uncultured bacterium
Lineage: Bacteria
Description: partial 16S ribosomal RNA
Rfam family: Bacterial small subunit ribosomal RNA
Source: RNAcentral
UACGUAGGGGGCGAGCGUUGUCCGGAUUUACUGGGCGUAAAGGGCGCGUAGGCGGUCCGUUAAGUCGGUUGUAAAAUCCCUCGGCCUAACUGAGGGGCGUCGGCCGAAACUGGCGGGCUGGAGGGAGGCAGAGGGGGGCGGAAUUCCCGGUGGAGCGGUGAAAUGCGUAGAGAUCGGGAGGAACACCCUUGGCGAAAGCGGCCCCCUGGGCCUUUCCUGACGCUGAGGCGCGAAAGCGUGGGGAGCAAAC